This 519-nucleotide long non-coding RNA is filed under the name Dicentrarchus labrax (European seabass). RNAcentral's name for it is "lncRNA (ENSDLAG00005031722.1)". The record is from RNAcentral. Lineage: Eukaryota; Metazoa; Chordata; Actinopteri; Moronidae.
AGCCAUACAUGCUGCGUAAAAUGUCCAUUGCUUGAGGAUGAUCAGUAUUUGACUAAUGGGAUGGGAAGAACUACUGGACUUCUGGGAUGGGAUGACGUGACCGAACUACUGGGAUGUUCUUGAAAUGACUACUGGGAUGUUAUAAGUUGUACUGUUGAACCUGCUGUUGGGCCUGCUAUCCCACCUACAAUCUCUGAUGUCACACCAACUGCCACUCCUCCAAACCCCAUGGAGGAACAAGCAGCAGCUGUGGUACCAGUGAGUCAGCUGAUACAGACAAUACACAUCAUUCCACAGUUUUUUUCUCAGGAUGUCCGGCAGAUCCUUACAGGCUUACAUGAUGGCAAGCAAAUUGUUGAGGGCCUUGAUGAGGAUAAUGUCAUCACAACUAGCCAGAGACGUCUCCUCGUCCGUAUCUUGGUGUCGUACCUCAUUGAGAAGUUUGGAGAGAAGAAAUAUGGUACACCACAGGACGGAGCCACCGGCCAGCCAUUGGAUUCCUGGAAGAAAGGCUGCUGA